GACGGAGGAUGCAAGCGUUAUCCGGAAUGAUUGGGCGUAAAGCGUCCGCAGGUGGCAGUUCAAGUCUGUUGUCAAAGACCGGGGCUUAACUUCGGAAAGGCAGUGGAAACUGAACAGCUAGAGUAUGGUAGGGGCAGAGGGAAUUCCUGGUGUAGCGGUGAAAUGCGUAGAUAUCAGGAAGAACAACGGUGGCGAAGGCGCUCUGCUGGACCAUAACUGACACUCAGGGACGAAAGCUAGGGGAGCGAAUGGG
This 253-nucleotide ribosomal RNA is filed under the name uncultured bacterium. RNAcentral describes it as "partial 16S ribosomal RNA". It matches the Rfam family "Bacterial small subunit ribosomal RNA", at positions 524 to 776 of the family's 1533-position model. The record is from RNAcentral.